GCCAAACUUGUCUUUCCUUCCAGAAGCCCACAGGGCAGGCAGGAAUGCAGGAGACAGGGCUAAGAACCCCAAAGACACACAACACUGAGGGCCUUCAGCCUGGACAGAUUCAGAAAGCUUCAGGGAGGGGCAGGCUUAGGUUGCUGCCCGCCAGUGGACUCCAUGAAAAGCCCUGAGAAGGAGGCCCACAUUCUGGAAGCAGAGAAAAUGUGCAUCAACCCCCAGCCUAGCGCAUCUAGCACUGCACUCCCGGAGGAGGGGCUUCAUGCCCAAUGUGGAGCCCAACGUGGGACUUGAAC
Long non-coding RNA from Lontra canadensis (Northern American river otter), 299 nucleotides. RefSeq lists it as uncharacterized. The transcript is spliced from 3 exons. Lineage: Eukaryota; Metazoa; Chordata; Mammalia; Carnivora; Mustelidae. The record is from RefSeq and is a predicted model, not a curated record.